GAAAUGCGAUAAGUAAUGUGAAUUGCAGAAUUCAGUGAAUCAUCGAAUCUUUGAACGCACAUUGCGCCCCCUGGUAUUCCGGGGGGCAUGCCUGUUCGAGCGUCAUUUCACCACUCAAGCCUCGCUUGGUAUUGGGCGACGCGGUCCGCCGCGCGCCUCAAAUCGACCGGCUGGGUCUUUCGUCCCCUCAGCGUUGUGGAAACUAUUCGCUAAAGGGUGCCGCGGGAGGCCACGCCGUAAAACAACCCCAUUUCUAAGGUUGACCUCGGAUCAGGUAGGGAUACCCUCUGAACUUAAGC
This 299-nucleotide unclassified non-coding RNA is filed under the name plant metagenome. RNAcentral's name for it is "partial contains 5.8S ribosomal RNA, internal transcribed spacer 2, and large subunit ribosomal RNA". The stretch from base 1 to 105 matches the Rfam family "5.8S ribosomal RNA", at positions 50 to 154 of the family's 154-position model. The record is from RNAcentral.